GAUGAACGCUAGCGGCAGGCCUAAUACAUGCAAGACGAACGGUAAGUUGAGUAGCAAUACUUAGCCAAGAGUGUCGUACGGGUGCGUAACACGUAUGCAACCUACCCUAUACAGGAGGAUAGCCUAGGGAAACCUGGAUUAACCCUUCAUAGUAUUAUUGGAUGGCAUCAUUUGAUAAUUAAAACUGAGGUGGUAUAGGAUGGGCAUGCGUCUGAUUAGUUAGUUGGCGGGGUAAUGGCCCACCAAGACGAUGAUCAGUAGGGGUUCUGAGAGGAAGAUCCCCCACACUGGCACUGAGAUACGGGCCAGACUCCUACGGGAGGCAGCAGUAGGGAAUAUUGGUCAAUGGAUGCAAGUCUGAACCAGCCAUGCCGCGUGCAGGAAGAAGGCCCUUCUGGGUUGUAAACUGCUUUUGCCAGGGGAUAAAAAUUUCCAUGCGUGGAAAACGUGAAGGUACCUGGUGAAUAAGCACGGCUAACUACGUGCCAGC
Molecule: ribosomal RNA, 490 nt
Filed under: uncultured bacterium
Lineage: Bacteria
Description: bacterial SSU rRNA
Rfam family: Bacterial small subunit ribosomal RNA
Source: RNAcentral